This 402-nucleotide ribosomal RNA is filed under the name uncultured bacterium. RNAcentral describes it as "partial 16S ribosomal RNA". It matches the Rfam family "Bacterial small subunit ribosomal RNA", at positions 30 to 526 of the family's 1533-position model. The record is from RNAcentral.
AUUGAACGCUGGCGGCAAGCCUAACACAUGCAAGUCGAACGAGUGGGGACGGGUGAGUAACACGUGGGUAACCUCCCAUCAGAGGGGAUAACACUUGGAAACAGGUGCUAAACCGAUACUGAUGGAUGGACCCGCGGUGCAUUAGCUAGUUGGUGAGGUAACGGCUCACCAAGGCCACGAUGCAUAGCCGACCUGGUAGGGGGAUCGGCCACACGGGGACUGAUACACGGCCCAGACUCCUACGGGAGGAAGCAGUAGGGAAUCUGCGGCAAUGGACGAAAGUCUGACCGAGCAACGCCGCGUGAGUGAAGAAGGUUUUCGGAUCGUAAAGCUCUGUUGUUAAGGAAGCGGUACUUAACCAGAAAGGGACGGCUAACUACGUGCCAGCAGCCGCGGUAAUUC